Molecule: long non-coding RNA, 938 nt
Filed under: Homo sapiens (human)
Lineage: Eukaryota; Metazoa; Chordata; Mammalia; Primates; Hominidae
Description: HSALNT0291228
Source: RNAcentral
CUGUGACGAUGACGAAGGCAGAGCAAUUAACGACACCUGGCAGAAGGAGCCGGCCAAGGUGCCGGGCACAGAGGGGCAGGGCCGCACGACACCCAGAAACCCAACUGGCUGAUAUCACAUGCCCCGCCUUGGAGCAGACUGGGACUGGAGCCAAGGAAGAGGAAGCGAAGAGGAGGCAGCUGAGAGUUUCCUCUAGGACGACGGAAAAGGCGCAGGAAGGGCUGCCUUUAAAUCCCUGGGUGCCUCUGGACAGCCCUGCCAAGCAGCAGGGCAGCAAACCUGUGCCAGCCUGCAAUGUGAAGCCCUAAAGCUUUGGCAUCUCUGCUGGGCUCUGAGCCAGGUGCCUGGCAGGGCCCCAAGAACUACUUUCAGCAAAUCUUCAGGCAACGCCGAAGGUGGUGAGAAGCAGGAGGCAGAGCGAGAAGGCAGGAAUGGAGGGGCCCCCUAGAGGCACCAGCUUAAGAGGAAGGUUCACGAGCUCAGGAGGACUUGGGGGAGUGCUGCAAGAUGGUGCGAGAAAUGGAGAAGGAAGACAGAACGGGGUAAGAGAGAGAAGAGGAGAGAAAGAACGCAGGAGAGGAGGGAGAGGAGAAAACGGAAAGGAGUCAGAGACUGGGAGGAUGUCCAAGCUGCCGGGACCUCAGAGAACCCGUGUCGUUAGCUACCGUGCCUGAAGGGGGACAACAAACACGGAGGACGGAGGAAGAAUGGCUCCUCCGUUGACGGAGAUGCGGAAUGGCUCCAGAGUCAGAGGGCUUCCUGAGUCUUCCGGAGUCUAACUGAAGAUCCGGUUGCAGCAGAAGCCCAUUUCUUUCAGCCUUGCCCACCAUGCCUGCCACCCGACCUCCACCUGUCCCCCGAGUGGGGGGCUCCCUGGCUCUAAGACAGCUCCCACCAGCCAUUUUCUUCUCCAGAGAAAGCAUUUUCAGUUCUUUCAA